Molecule: ribosomal RNA, 468 nt
Filed under: uncultured bacterium
Lineage: Bacteria
Description: partial 16S ribosomal RNA
Rfam family: Bacterial small subunit ribosomal RNA
Source: RNAcentral
GACGAACGCUGGCGGCGUGCUUAACACAUGCAAGUCGAACGGAAAGGCCCUGCUUUUGCGGGGUGCUCGAGUGGCGAACGGGUGAGUAACACGUGAGUAACCUGCCCCUGACUUUGGGAUAACUUCAGGAAACUGGGGCUAAUACCGGAUAGGAGCUCCUGCUGCAUGGUGGGGGUUGGAAAGUUUCGGCGGUUGGGGAUGGACUCGCGGCUUAUCAGCUUGUUGGUGGGGUAGUGGCUUACAAAGGGUUUGACGGGUAGCCGGCCUGAGAGGGUGACCGGCGACAUUGGGACUGCGGUACGGCCCAGACUCCUACGGGAGGCAGCAGUGGGGAGUAUUGCACAAUGGGCGGGAGCCUGAUGCAGCAGCGCCGCGUGCGGGAUGACGGCCUUCGGGUUGUGAACCGCUUUCGCCUGUGACGAAGCGUGAGUGACGGUAAUGGGUAAAGAAGCACCGGCUAACUACGUG